AGUCACAGUGGGCUCCCCGUGCCAGAUGCCUGUGGGUCCAUCAUGGUGACAAAAGCUGAAUUUCCCCCUCUUUGGGGGCGAAAGGGAGCAGGGAAGGGAGCGCGCAGCCUCCCCCCUCCCCUCCCCGCCCUCCGCGCUGCAUAGAUCUCCUUUUCUCCAAGUGUUUCCUCUUUAAUUAUGACCUGUUCCCCCUCCCUCUCNNNNNNNNCCCGCCCGCCGUGGGAGGAGCCCGCCGGAGGAAGCCGUGCGCCGGGGCUGCACAGAAUGGAUCUGCUCGGAGCGGGGACGUCGCUGAGCAGCCCGGCUUCCCGCGGCGGCUAGGAGCCGGCCACUGGCCUGGGCGGGCUGCGGGGACCGGGCCCCGGGAGCACCGAGGCGCGACCCCGGGAGCAUCGCGGCCGAGGCUGAGCGCGGCCAGCCCCCGGGAGGACAAACUCACGGCCACCCCAAGUUGCGCCGCCGGCCCCCCCUCGCUGCGCUGAGGAAUGAGACCUCUCCAGCUCGAUCUGCUCUUCGUGUGCUUCUUCCUUUUCAGUCAAGAGCUGGGCCUUGGAAGCCUGUUUCUUACAGAGGACGCUACACCUGUGUGAGGGGCCACGGGAGCCAGAGGGCCUGCUCUUCCCUUGGGUCCCCGACAGGCAGGAGCAGGUGCAGUGUUUGGGGAUGCGAGACCCUGCGAGCGCUGCAGUUCCCGCAGCAGCCUGAUGGUGGCAGCAGCAGCGCUUGCAAAGCCUGAGCGUGAGCCGAGCUAGGCAGCCUCCUCCUCCUCCUCCUC
Molecule: long non-coding RNA, 775 nt
Filed under: Vulpes vulpes (red fox)
Lineage: Eukaryota; Metazoa; Chordata; Mammalia; Carnivora; Canidae
Description: lncRNA (ENSVVUG00000020060.1)
Source: RNAcentral